AUUUGAGCUACUGCACUCAAUAGGUAUUUGGCUAGUAUACUAAUAGCUACUGCAGCAACUCGUUUAAAAGGGAGCAGAUCAUCUAAACAUGACUGCAGUAAUUAGACCCUGAGUUACAAACAUAAACCAAGAAGAAACAUGCUUGUCCUUUAAUGCCGACAAGUUUCCAUGCAGAAGUCAACUUAUAAUCUAAGCGGAC
RNAcentral lists this long non-coding RNA (199 nucleotides) under Elaeis guineensis (African oil palm). Its description in RNAcentral is "long non-coding RNA (EGUI_LNC023502)". The record is from RNAcentral. Lineage: Eukaryota; Viridiplantae; Streptophyta; Magnoliopsida; Arecales; Arecaceae.